AGUUCACUCAAUCACAGCUUAAUCUCAAUACCCAAAUACUCAUUCAGAACUAGCAUUCUAAAAGCAACCAUCUUAGUGCAAGUAUCUAAAUAGUCUAGCCAUGUUUAAACCACCAUUCUUACAACUCUGCUUUAUUGGGGCAACUAGGUUUAUGGACAUUUUGUGAACAAUUAACGAUUAUAUUUCCUCUGUAUGCAUUUACUAUUGUGCUCUAUAAUUUUAUUAAUUUCUUGUCUUUUGCCAAAUUCACUACG
RNAcentral lists this unclassified non-coding RNA (254 nucleotides) under Hevea brasiliensis (rubber tree). The record is from RNAcentral. Lineage: Eukaryota; Viridiplantae; Streptophyta; Magnoliopsida; Malpighiales; Euphorbiaceae.